This 497-nucleotide ribosomal RNA is filed under the name uncultured bacterium. RNAcentral's name for it is "partial 16S ribosomal RNA". It matches the Rfam family "Bacterial small subunit ribosomal RNA", at positions 28 to 507 of the family's 1533-position model. The record is from RNAcentral.
GACGAACGCUGGCGGCGUGCCUAAUACAUGCAAGUAGAACGCUGAAGAGAGGAGCUUGCUCUUCUUGGAUGAGUUGCGAACGGGUGAGUAACGCGUAGGUAACCUGCCUGGUAGCGGGGGAUAACUAUUGGAAACGAUAGCUAAUACCGCAUAAAAUUGAUUAUUGCAUGAUAAUUAAUUGAAAGAUGCAACUGCAUCACUACCAGAUGGACCUGCGUUGUAUUAGCUAGUUGGUGAGGUAACGGCUCACCAAGGCGACGAUACAUAGCCGACCUGAGAGGGGGAUUGGCCACACUGGGAGCGGAGCCCCGCCCAGACCCCUACGGGAGGCAGCAGUAGGGAAUCUUCGGCAAUGGGGGGAACCCUGACCGAGCAACGCCGCGUGAGUGAAGAAGGGUUUCGGAUCGUAAAGCUCUGUUGUAAGAGAAGAACGGGUGUGGGAGUGGAAAGUUCACACUGUGACGGUAUCUUACCAGAAAGGGACGGCUAACUACGUG